This 23-nucleotide non-coding RNA is filed under the name Cricetulus griseus (Chinese hamster). The record is from RNAcentral. Lineage: Eukaryota; Metazoa; Chordata; Mammalia; Rodentia; Cricetidae.
GGAUACCUGCAGGCAGAACACUA